GACAGAGGGUGCAAACGUUGUUCGGAAUUACUGGGCGUAAAGCGAGUGUAGGCGGUUUGGUAAGUCGGAUGUGAAAGCCCCGGGCUCAACCCGGGAAGUGCACUCGAUACUACCAAGCUAGAGUAUCGGAGAGGUUGGUGGAAUUCUCGGUGUAGAGGUGAAAUUCGUAGAUAUCGAGAGGAACACCGGCGGCGAAGGCGGCCAACUGGACGAAUACUGACGCUGAGACUCGAAAGCGUGGGGAGCAAACAGG
This 253-nucleotide ribosomal RNA is filed under the name uncultured bacterium. RNAcentral describes it as "partial 16S ribosomal RNA". It matches the Rfam family "Bacterial small subunit ribosomal RNA", at positions 524 to 776 of the family's 1533-position model. The record is from RNAcentral.